GACGAACGCUGGCGGCGUGCUUAACACAUGCAAGUCGAACGGAAAGGCCCUGCUUUUGUGGGGUGCUCGAGUGGCGAACGGGUGAGUAACACGUGAGUAACCUGCCCUUGACUUUGGGAUAACUUCAGGAAACUGGGGCUAAUACCGGAUAGGAGCUCCUGCUGCAUGGUGGGGGUUGGAAAGUUUCGGCGGUUGGGGAUGGACUCGCGGCUUAUCAGCUUGUUGGGGGGGUAGUGGCUUACCAAGGGUUUGACGGGUAGCCGGCCUGGGAGGGUGACCGGCCACAUUGGGACUGAGAGACGGACCAGACUCCUACGGGAGGCAGCAGUGGGGAAUAUUGCACAAUGGGCGGAAGCCUGAUGCAGCAACGCCGCGUGCGGGAUGACGGCCUUCGGGUUGUAAACCGCUUUCGCCUGUGACGAAGCGUGAGUGACGGUAAUGGGUAAAGAAGCACCGGCUAACUACGUG
This 468-nucleotide ribosomal RNA is filed under the name uncultured bacterium. Its description in RNAcentral is "partial 16S ribosomal RNA". It matches the Rfam family "Bacterial small subunit ribosomal RNA", at positions 28 to 507 of the family's 1533-position model. The record is from RNAcentral.